AGGUAAUUCCCCAUCACAGCAGUCAUUAGUUGCCUGUACAUCUUUGUCUAUGUUUAGAGCCCUGUAAUAGUCUCUGCUUCUGCAUUAGCAUGCAUAUUGAUAGAUUAAAUCAGUAAGAUAUGAGUUUGAAGUUUCCCCCUCCAUGAAAAUGAUAGCUUCGGAAGUGAAAAUUAGUCCAAAUUGGUUAUUUUACAUCAGAAAAAAAAAAGAAAAUUAGUCCAACUUGAAUAUUUUAUAUUGUACACAUAGAUUAAUAUAUAAUUCUUUCCUCCAUAAAUAUGUUCAGUUAUUACAUAUCAUAAAAAUAGCUAAGAUGGAAAAAAAUCUUAGAAGUCUUAAAAAUAUAACAACUGUAGUACAUUUAUGUGCUUCUCUAUAAAAGCCUUAAUAAUCAUGUGUUUCUAUAUAAUUUUUCUUAUUUAACUCCAUGGCAUUUGAAACCCUCUAAGUCAUAAGGUCUAAUUAAAUAUUAAACAUAAUUCUAUUGUGGUAUAAUUAUAUUCAUAUAAAUUUGCAAAAACUAAUAGUAAUCCUCUUAUCCUAUCCUGUUAUGGUCAUCUUUUAAAUGAGGAGUUCUUUAUUAAAACUAAGAACUUAGCUUUAGUGUGACCCUGGGCACUCUAAUCUGAAGGAAUGAUUCAGUUUUCUUCAGUUGCCACCAAUAACUUCCUCUGCCAGAAUAGAAUCAAAAUUACUAACACCGUCAGACAUAGCAUGUAUUCUUUAGUUAUUUUGAACAUAACAUUGAUCACUUGAAAGUGAGUUGAUCAUUUUCUAUGUUCCCACCAAUCUGCUGUUAUGCAGUGACUUCUUAUGAUUUAUUUCAGUAACAGAUUCGGAGGGAUUGUUGAGCGGCGACACACACUUGUCAUAACUCUUUAUCUGUGCUAUAUGAUUUCAAUUUGACAGCAGUAAUUGUUAGCUUUGAAUAUUUAGUACAGUGGAUUCUCAAAAGUUUAUUUAUGAUAAUUUGAUAUAUUUUCCUCUACUUUAUGAAGCUGAGAUAUCUCAGCAUAGAUUUUUGGAAUCCUGUAAGAGAAAUUCUGUCAUUUCUCCUCUGCUCAUAUAUCAAUUAAAUAACUUUAUUUCUAUAAGAAUAGCAAAGAUAAAAUAGAGAGAAAUAACAGUCAAAAAUGAAAUAUCAAAUCAUGAAUACUAAUAAGAGAUUCACAAAUAGAAGAUAGACUUAAAGAAUCUGUUAGGUCACAGUUCUACAAAUUGACAAACUACUAGAAACAAGAAAUAGUCCAUUAACAGAAAGAGAAAAAUAAAUAAAUAAUCUUACCUAUGUCCCAGAGUAAAAAUGCAUAUGAUUAAUGUAUAAAGGUUUAACUUUGAUGUUGGCUAAAAGAAGUUACAUACUAGGGAGAAUCAUAUCAUAUUGCACUUUUCUGCAGGUUGAAAAGAAAUCAAAUAGCAGUAAUUUCAUACAUCAUUCACCCUAUUUCAAGGUAACAGUACAUUAAUUAAGAAGCUGGGAGGCAAAACUAACCGUUUUGCCACAAACAUGAAAGAAGGCCAGGGGUGCUUAAUUUCUAAGCAUCCUCACUUGGAUCUGCAGACAAAAUUAACAGAACAGAAAGUCUGGAGAAAAUCCCAGUUC
This 1603-nucleotide long non-coding RNA is filed under the name Mus musculus (house mouse). Its description in RNAcentral is "long non-coding RNA chr10:112960187-112961790". Lineage: Eukaryota; Metazoa; Chordata; Mammalia; Rodentia; Muridae. The record is from RNAcentral.